Molecule: non-coding RNA, 400 nt
Organism: Mus caroli (Ryukyu mouse)
Lineage: Eukaryota; Metazoa; Chordata; Mammalia; Rodentia; Muridae
Source: the annotation of a RefSeq genome assembly
UCCUCUCUUCCAGCUCUCAGAGAUGGAGACAGACACACUCCUGCUAUGGGUGCUGCUACUCUGGGUUCCAGGCUCCACUGGUGACAUUGUGCUGACCCAAUCUCCAGCUUCUUUGGCUAUGUCUCUAGGGCAGACGGUCACCAUUUCCUGCAUAGCCAGUGAAAGUGUUGAUAAUUAUGGCUAUAGUCUUAUGAACUGGUACCAACAAAAACAAGGACAGCCACCCAAACUCCUCAUCUAUGAUGCAUCCACCCUACAAUCUGGGGUCCCUGCCAGGUUUAGUGGCAGAGGGUCUGGGAAAGACUUCACCCUCAGCAUCCAUCCUGUGGAGGAGGAGGAUAUUGCAGACUAUUAUUGUCAGCAAAGUAAGGAGGUUCCUCCCACAGUGCUCCAGGGCUGA